GCCCGGCUGGCGCAAUGGUUAGCGCAUAUGACUUCUACAGUGCAUUUUGCUGACGCAGAUGCGUGGGAGUAUAUCAUAAGGUUGCGAGUUCGAGUCUCGCGUCGGGUU
RNAcentral lists this transfer RNA (108 nucleotides) under Nemania serpens. RNAcentral describes it as "tRNA-Arg". It matches the Rfam family "tRNA". From Rfam's summary of the family: Transfer RNA (tRNA) molecules are approximately 80 nucleotides in length. Their secondary structure includes four short double-helical elements and three loops (D, anti-codon, and T loops). Lineage: Eukaryota; Fungi; Ascomycota; Sordariomycetes; Xylariales; Xylariaceae. The record is from RNAcentral.